This 779-nucleotide ribosomal RNA is filed under the name uncultured Neocallimastigales. RNAcentral describes it as "partial large subunit ribosomal RNA". It matches the Rfam family "Eukaryotic large subunit ribosomal RNA", at positions 24 to 644 of the family's 3401-position model. Lineage: Eukaryota; Fungi; Neocallimastigomycota; Neocallimastigomycetes; Neocallimastigales. The record is from RNAcentral.
UUACGACUACAUAUCAGGCAUAUCAAUAAGCGGAGGAAAAGAAACUAACUAGGAUUCCCUCAGUAACGGCGAGUGAAGCGGGAAGAGCUCAAAUUUGAAAUCUUCAAGGUUUUACCUUGACGAAUUGUAGUUUAAAGAAGUGUUUUCUGUUGAAGUUUUCGGUAAAAGUUCUUUGGAAUAGGACAUCAUAGAGGGUGAGAAUCCCGUAUUUGACCAGUUACUUUCCAGCUGUUGUGAUACACUUUCAAAGAGUCGGAUUGUUUGGGAAUGCAGUCCAAAAUGGGUGGUAAAUUUCAUCUAAAGCUAAAUAUUGGCGAGAGACCGAUAGCGAACAAGUACCGUGAGGGAAAGAUGAAAAGAACUUUGAAAAGAGAGUUAAACAGUACGUGAAAUUGUCAAAAGGGAAGCGUUUGACACCAGUGUUGUUUUCUCGAAAAUCAAUUAAAAAGAGUUGGAUUUUGUAUUGUUAAGACCUUAUCAGCUUACUGUACUUUUUUCUUAUUCUUUUUAAUGCACUUUUCGUUUAACAAGUCAACAUCAAUUUCUUUUGUUGUAAAAGAGUCAUUGGAAGGUGGCUUUCACUUCGGUGAAAGUGUUUAUAGCCUUUGGCUUCUGCAAUCGGAGAGAUUGAGGUCUGCAGCGUAGAUCCUUCGGGGUUAGAUACGUAGAUGCUAAGUUAUAGUUUUUCAUAGACAACUUGUUGACUAUGAUUAAUCAUGUAGCUUACUCGUUUGCGCUAUUUUACCUACGCUUAGGAUGUUGAAUCUGUGCGAGACUAC